CCUACGGGAGGCAGCAGUGGGGAAUCUUCCGCAAUGGGCGAAAGCCUGACGGAGCAACGCCGCGUGAUCGAAUGAAGGCCUUCGGGUUGUAAAGAUCUGUUGACAGGGACGAAUAAGCAAUGCAAAUAGUUUUGUGUGUGACGGUACCUGUUUAGAAAGCUCCGGCUAACUACGUGCGAGCAGCCGCGGUAAUACGUAGGGAGCAAGCGUUGUACGGAAUUACGGGGCGAAAAGGGCGCGUAGGUGGGCGCUUAAGUCAGGUGUGAAAACUCCGGGCUCAACCUGGAGACUGCAGUUGAAACUGGGUGCCUUGAGGGCAGGAGAGGAAAGCGGAAUUCCUAGUGUAGCGGUGAAAUGCGUAGAUAUUAGGAAGAACACCAGUGGCGAAGGCGACUGUCUGGACUGUACCUGACGCUGAGGCGCGAAAGCGUGGGUAGCGAACGGGAUUAGAUACCCCAGUAGUC
RNAcentral lists this ribosomal RNA (464 nucleotides) under uncultured bacterium. RNAcentral's name for it is "partial 16S ribosomal RNA". It matches the Rfam family "Bacterial small subunit ribosomal RNA", at positions 338 to 795 of the family's 1533-position model. The record is from RNAcentral.